GCUGGGCAUGGUGGCGCACGCCUGUAAUCCCAGUGGCUCGAGAGGCUGAGACAGGAGAAUCAUGAGUUCAAAGCCAGCCUCAGCAAAAGCGAGGUGCUAAGCAACUCAGUGAGACCUUGUCUCUA
This 125-nucleotide small RNA is filed under the name Marmota monax (woodchuck). Lineage: Eukaryota; Metazoa; Chordata; Mammalia; Rodentia; Sciuridae. The record is from RNAcentral.